GCCGGGAUGGCGGAAUUGGUAGACGCACGGGACUCAAAAUCCCGCGACUGUGAGGUCAUGGGGGUUCGAUUCCCCCUCCCGGCACCA
RNAcentral lists this transfer RNA (87 nucleotides) under Nitrosospira sp. Its description in RNAcentral is "tRNA-Leu". It matches the Rfam family "tRNA". Rfam says of the family: Transfer RNA (tRNA) molecules are approximately 80 nucleotides in length. RNAcentral also lists the same sequence under 4 other names. The record is from RNAcentral. Lineage: Bacteria; Pseudomonadati; Pseudomonadota; Betaproteobacteria; Nitrosomonadales; Nitrosomonadaceae.